UUCCGACCUACGACUUACUACGGUUUGGGCACUCUAGCGAGACUGCCGGUAAUAAACCGGAGGAAGGUGGGGAUGACGUCAAAUCAUCAUGCCCCUUAUGACCUGGGCUACACACGUGCUACAAUGGUUGGUACAACGAGUUGCGAGUCGGUGACGGCGAGCUAAUCUCUUAAAGCCAAUCUCAGUUCGGAUUGUAGGCUGCAACUCGCCUACAUGAAGUCGGAAUCGCUAGUAAUCGCGGAUCAGCACGCCGCGGUGAAUACGUUCCCGGGCCUU
Molecule: ribosomal RNA, 276 nt
Filed under: uncultured Streptococcus sp.
Lineage: Bacteria; Bacillati; Bacillota; Bacilli; Lactobacillales; Streptococcaceae
Description: partial 16S ribosomal RNA
Rfam family: Bacterial small subunit ribosomal RNA
Source: RNAcentral